UGGGGAAUAUUGGGCAAUGGACGCAAGUCUGACCCAGCGACGCCGCGUGCGGGAUGAAGGCCUUCGGGUUGUAAACCGCUUUCAGCAGGGAAGAAGCGAAAGUGACGGUACCUGCAAAAGAAGCACCGGCUAACUAUGUGCCAGCAGCCGCGGUAAUACAUAGGGUGCAAGCGUUGUCCGGAAUUAUUGGGCGUAAAGAGCUCGUAGGCGGUUUGGUAAGUCGGUUGUGAAAUCCCCAGGCUCAACCUGGGGCCUGCAUUCGAUACUGCCAUGACUAGAGUUUGGUAGGGGACCACGGAAUUCCUGGUGUAGCGGUGGAAUGCGCAGAUAUCAGGAGGAACACCAAUGGCGAAGGCAGGUCUCUGGGCCAAUACUGACACUGAGGAGCGAAAGCGUGGGGAGCGAACAGG
Molecule: ribosomal RNA, 410 nt
Filed under: uncultured bacterium
Lineage: Bacteria
Description: bacterial SSU rRNA
Rfam family: Bacterial small subunit ribosomal RNA
Source: RNAcentral